UGAAAGCACCAAGAAAAUGUGCAAUAACAAUGGCUUAGCAAGAUGGAUUUCUGCUGAUUCUUCAACUCAAAAGCAAAACAAAACCAGACUCAGGCUGUGCAGGGCCAGAGGGGGCUCCCCAGAACAGGCACUGGGCUGCACACACUUCUUCUGCCUGUCAUUCCAUCAGGGUCAGGGACGAAGCCCUCCACACACUCCUCAUGUGUGUGCACCUGAAUGUCUGCAGGAGAGCUGCAAGGGACCGAGGAGAGAUGAAGAAGCAAAAGGAAAAGCAGAGGUUCCAUGUCCACUGUUUUCUUGGAGUAAAACUUCUACCCUCGUGUUACCGGCCCUGAUAUGGGUACUGAUCGUUCUAGGUCUCAGUUGCCUUUUCUGCUGUGAUGAAGAUACCCUGCAAAAGCCCUGGGCCCAGCUCUUGAAAUAGUACACCACAUUCACGGCAAGUCUUCCCACCUCAGUUAACCCAGUGACAGAAAUCUCCCACAGAGAUAUCCAGAAACCCCCAUUCCAGUGGCAUUAAUGAACUCCACCACUGAGAUGUCAUCCAACACCAGGCUGCUAUGGAAAGGACUCAGGAUGCUUAGUGUUGUCUUUAAAUUUUUGAGACUUUUGUCUAAGAAAUAUAUCCAUCUUUAACAUUU
Peromyscus eremicus (cactus mouse) is the source of this 641-nucleotide long non-coding RNA. RefSeq lists it as uncharacterized. The record is from RefSeq and is a predicted model, not a curated record. The transcript is spliced from 3 exons. Lineage: Eukaryota; Metazoa; Chordata; Mammalia; Rodentia; Cricetidae.